AUUUCGCUCGUGCGGUUCUCGCUCGUGCGGUUCUCGCUCGUGCGGUUCUCGGCCGUGCGGUUCUCGGCCGUGCGGUUC
This 78-nucleotide transfer RNA is filed under the name Herbidospora sp. NBRC 101105. RNAcentral describes it as "tRNA-Glu". The record is from RNAcentral. Lineage: Bacteria; Bacillati; Actinomycetota; Actinomycetes; Streptosporangiales; Streptosporangiaceae.